RNAcentral lists this transfer RNA (60 nucleotides) under Pleurocryptella fimbriata. RNAcentral's name for it is "tRNA-Leu". The record is from RNAcentral. Lineage: Eukaryota; Metazoa; Arthropoda; Malacostraca; Isopoda; Bopyridae.
CUUAGUUUGGCAGAUUUAAUGCGGUAAGUUUAGAUCUUAUUUAUGCCAGGGCAACUAAGA